This 636-nucleotide ribosomal RNA is filed under the name Ostreopsis ovata. RNAcentral's name for it is "eukaryotic LSU rRNA". It matches the Rfam family "Eukaryotic large subunit ribosomal RNA", at positions 51 to 642 of the family's 3401-position model. Lineage: Eukaryota; Dinophyceae; Peridiniales; Ostreopsidaceae. The record is from RNAcentral.
CGGAGGGGACCCAUCAACUUGGAUUUUGUAAGUAGUUGCGAAUGAACACAAAUUUGAUCACUUUGGCAAUCUGUACACAUUGCUGUGUAACAAUUUGUAUACGUUGGCACAGUGCUAUCAAAGCUGCAUGCAAGUGUUUUUUGAAAGGAUACAACAUGGGAUGUGAUAUUCAUGUGUGUGUGCCUGCUUUGUCCACAGCCUGUGCUGUAUGAAUCACAUUUCUUGCAACUGAAAUGCUAAUGGCAUGGUAAAGUUCUGUGACAUGACACAAGCUUGAGAUUCAUGAUGUGCAAGUACCAUGAGGGAAAUGUGAAAAGGACUUUGGAAAGAGAAUUAAAUAAAGCCUGCAUUUGCUGACAAUGAAAGCAAGUGUGGAUGUUCAUGUAAUUGUUACUGCAUCAAUCAAUGUUCAUCUUGGUUACUGCAUGCUUUAUAUUACAGCUCAGAACAUGAAGUGUGUGUAACAGCUCUGCUUUGAUUUUUCCCACAUGGGAUCAGUUGAAACAUUGUGAGAGCACUCUUCAGUUUCCUUAUGUACCCACAGCUUUGUCCACUCGCGUGUUGGCACACAUGUAAUGAUGAUGUGUUUAUGCAAGAUACUUCUGUGCUCAACAACAUGUUGAGUCCGCUUCCUCU